Molecule: long non-coding RNA, 1777 nt
Organism: Asparagus officinalis (garden asparagus)
Lineage: Eukaryota; Viridiplantae; Streptophyta; Magnoliopsida; Asparagales; Asparagaceae
Exons: 4
Source: RefSeq, a predicted model, not a curated record
UGCGCCAAACCCCCCUCUUUCUCUACAAACCCCGCCUCCUUUUGUAGAUAUUUGAGUGAUUUGCUAUCCCGUCACUCAAAUCACUAAUCUCUCAUUUUUUCUCUCUUGUUUCAGGCCAUCUCCAAUCAAGCCCUCCUCCAAUUCUAUCUCUGAUCCCAUCCUCCCCUAUUUACAGUCAAUUAGCAGUGAAUUGGGCGAAUUCGAGAGAAACUCAGGUGGGCCGGAUCAAAAGCUUAAGGCCCUUUUGGAGGAUUGCGUUCAGAGUUCAUGAUCCUGUGCAUGUGAAGCGGAAGGGUCGACCAAAAGAAAAACGACAGCAAUCUUUAGGGGGGAAAAUUGUCAAAGCCAAGAGAAAGAAGAUACAGGAGGAUCAAGUUCAAAGAGCUCAGAGUCCCGCAGAUAAGUAGAAGUGCAUGUUUAGCAUUAACAAAGGAAAAUUUUCUUUGCUUAUAUUCUCUCUUUGCAGAUUUGAUGAAAUUUAUUGAAUCUUUUUGGACUAGUUAAUCCAUAACAUUUUCUUAUACAUUUAUUUAUUUAUUUAUUUAUAUUUGUAGAAGUUUGCAACAUGGAGAGUUAAACAUGCUCCGAGUUGUCGAAACUGAAAAGCUUGUUCAAAAUCAAAUGGAGAGUCCUCAUUUUGUUUGCGUGGUACUAUUGGUUUAGAAGUUGGAAUUUUAACGUAUGAAAUCUCUAGAGCACUUGCAAGAGUUUUCUAUCAUGUAAAAGCGACCUUUUGAAUAGUUAUUAAAACAUUUAUCUCUUUUCUCUUCUUAUUUUUUCAGAUAUAGUUCAUUGAUCCAACCUGUUAAAAAAUCUUGUGCAAUGCUCUCUAUAGUCAUUCAUUCAUUUAAUUUAUAGGUAAAGAUACAAUAAAAUCAAGAGAUAAUAAAAUAUUCAUAGUUUGAGUUAUAAUUUCUUUGUUUUUCAUGAAGAAGUGAAUUAGUCCAAUACAUAAUUUUAACUGAAUAAUAAAACUAUUUUCACUUUCUACAAUAAAGGUAUUUCAUACUUGAUUGCAGACAAUCUAUAAUACUCCGAAGGGGAGUAAGUGUAAGUUCAGUGCAUUCAUUGCAUCACAAACACUGUGUUCAACUAUGCUUCUACCCUAUAAUUCUUUUGGUGACUGCAGAAUUGAUGUUUCGCUCUUUUCUAUUCAAUGUGAGAGAACUAUCAAUUAUAAAUCUCUUGUUCGUAAGAGAUUUUAUCGCUCCAUUGUUCGUAAGAUAUUUCUAUUCAGGUUUCCUACAUGAAUCCUCUUGUUUUCGUUCAACUAUAGUAAGGGCCAUCUUGUAUUUUUCAUGUACUAAACUAGUGCCAGUUAGUUAAUACCAUGUCUUUCCCUUUCGUUUAGCUAUGCAGCACUCAGGUGAAAAUGUAGCACUCAUUUCAAACUGAGAUAGUGCUGGUCUUUCCUAACCUAAAUAUGCAUAUGAUGAGCAUAGUUAUCAUGAUUGCCAAAAACUAGUCUGGAGAUUCAUGGGCUUAGACCAGCUUGGCAACUUCUCACCUUUAUACUGUAUAUACUCUUAUUUUGAGUGGUAAUCUUUUCAGGUUAGAGGAGGUACUCUCGUAGGGAGCAGCAGUACGAUACGACGUUCUAAUGCAAACGACGCUGAUAACAAGGAUGUUGACAAUGACGAUGAUGAGGAGUGAGUGAGACUUGUUUUUAUAUUUAUGUAGUUAUAGAUUGUGUUAAGACAUGUUGUGAGUUUUGAAUUCUACCUAUAUGUAAUAUAUUUGUUAUUUUAUUGUAUAGUGAAUGAAUAUUGUUUGAGCA